Molecule: ribosomal RNA, 291 nt
Filed under: uncultured bacterium
Lineage: Bacteria
Description: partial 16S ribosomal RNA
Rfam family: Bacterial small subunit ribosomal RNA
Source: RNAcentral
UACAGAGGGGGCAAGCGUUGUUCGGAAUUACUGGGCGUAAAGGGCGCGUAGGCGGCCUUCUAAGUCGAACGUGAAAUCCCCGGGCUCAACCCGGGAACUGCGUCCGAUACUGGAAGGCUUGAAUCCGGGAGAGGGAUGCGGAAUUCCAGGUGUAGGCGGUGAAAGUGCGUAGAUAUCUGGAGGAACACCGGUGGCGAAGGCGGCGAUCCUGGACCGGCAUUGACGCGUGACGGCGCGAAAGCCAGGGGAGCAAAGCGGGAUUAAGAUGACCCCGAGUAGUCCCGAGACCAA